Molecule: ribosomal RNA, 963 nt
Filed under: Escherichia coli
Lineage: Bacteria; Pseudomonadati; Pseudomonadota; Gammaproteobacteria; Enterobacterales; Enterobacteriaceae
Description: partial 23S ribosomal RNA
Rfam family: Bacterial large subunit ribosomal RNA
Source: RNAcentral
UCUUUAUGGGGUGACUGCGUACCUUUUGUAUAAUGGGUCAGCGACUUAUAUUCUGUAGCAAGGUUAACCGAAUAGGGGAGCCGAAGGGAAACCGAGUCUUAACUGGGCGUUAAGUUGCAGGGUAUAGACCCGAAACCCGGUGAUCUAGCCAUGGGCAGGUUGAAGGUUGGGUAACACUAACUGGAGGACCGAACCGACUAAUGUUGAAAAAUUAGCGGAUGACUUGUGGCUGGGGGUGAAAGGCCAAUCAAACCGGGAGAUAGCUGGUUCUCCCCGAAAGCUAUUUAGGUAGCGCCUCGUGAAUUCAUCUCCGGGGGUAGAGCACUGUUUCGGCAAGGGGGUCAUCCCGACUUACCAACCCGAUGCAAACUGCGAAUACCGGAGAAUGUUAUCACGGGAGACACACGGCGGGUGCUAACGUCCGUCGUGAAGAGGGAAACAACCCAGACCGCCAGCUAAGGUCCCAAAGUCAUGGUUAAGUGGGAAACGAUGUGGGAAGGCCCAGACAGCCAGGAUGUUGGCUUAGAAGCAGCCAUCAUUUAAAGAAAGCGUAAUAGCUCACUGGUCGAGUCGGCCUGCGCGGAAGAUGUAACGGGGCUAAACCAUGCACCGAAGCUGCGGCAGCGACACUAUGUGUUGUUGGGUAGGGGAGCGUUCUGUAAGCCUGUGAAGGUGUACUGUGAGGUAUGCUGGAGGUAUCAGAAGUGCGAAUGCUGACAUAAGUAACGAUAAAGCGGGUGAAAAGCCCGCUCGCCGGAAGACCAAGGGUUCCUGUCCAACGUUAAUCGGGGCAGGGUGAGUCGACCCCUAAGGCGAGGCCGAAAGGCGUAGUCGAUGGGAAACAGGUUAAUAUUCCUGUACUUGGUGUUACUGCGAAGGGGGGACGGAGAAGGCUAUGUUGGCCGGGCGACGGUUGUCCCGGUUUAAGCGUGUAGGCUGAUUUUCCAGGCAAAUCCGGAAAAU